CCUGGUUGUCUUCAUUCACACUCAAAGAACAUGAAUUCACAGGAGCUGGUUAUGGAUGUGGCUUUGCUGCUUGUCAGGCUUACUGAGCCUUCCUUUACCACUGGAGCUGGUACUUCUACUUCUCUCAUUCCCCAGCAUGUAAAAGAACUUUGUUGUUUGGAACCCCACGCCUUAGCUGUGCUCGGUGCAGCUGCUCUCUCCUACAUGAUAAGGGCUGAUAGUGUCCAGAAAAAGCAAAUGUUUCACAUGGAUCCUUGAUGUUCCAAGCUGACAUAAAGCGACAUACACAGAGAAAUGUGACCAGAGCUGUUCUCUCUCACAUUUGCCAUCACAGAUCAGACUCUCUCCAUACCAGAAGAUUGAUGUUCUCUAUAAUAAUGUAAUAGUAAUAAUUAUUAUA
RNAcentral lists this long non-coding RNA (400 nucleotides) under Parus major (Great Tit). RNAcentral's name for it is "lncRNA (ENSPMJG00000019352.1)". The record is from RNAcentral. Lineage: Eukaryota; Metazoa; Chordata; Aves; Passeriformes; Paridae.